GUGCCAGCCGCCGCGGUAAGACAGAGGGUGCAAACGUUGUUCGGAAUUACUGGGCGUAAAGCGCGUGUAGGUGGCCAGGCAAGUCGGGUGUGAAAGCCCCGGGCUCAACCCGGGAAGUGCACUCGAAACUGCUUGGCUCGAGUGCCGGAGAGGGAAGCGGAAUUCUCGGUGUAGAGGUGAAAUUCGUAGAUAUCGAGAGGAACACCAGUGGCGAAGGCGGCUUCCUGGACGGCUACUGACGCUGAGACGCGAAAGCGUGGGGAGCAAACAGGAUUAGAUACCCCUGUAGUCC
Molecule: ribosomal RNA, 292 nt
Filed under: uncultured bacterium
Lineage: Bacteria
Description: partial 16S ribosomal RNA
Rfam family: Bacterial small subunit ribosomal RNA
Source: RNAcentral